Molecule: ribosomal RNA, 434 nt
Filed under: uncultured bacterium
Lineage: Bacteria
Description: partial 16S ribosomal RNA
Rfam family: Bacterial small subunit ribosomal RNA
Source: RNAcentral
AGCGAACGCUGGCGGCAGGCCUAACACAUGCAAGUCGAACGAACCUUUCGGGGUUAGUGGCGGACGGGUGAGUAACAUGUGGGAACGUGCCUUUAGGUUCGGAAUAACUCAGGGAAACUUGUGCUAAUACCGAAUGUGCCCUUCGGGGGAAAGAUUAAUCGCCUUUAGAGCGGCCCGCGUCUGAUUAGCUAGUUGGUUGAGGUAAUGGCUCACCAAGGCGACGAUCAGUAGCUGGUCUGAGAGGAUGAUCAGCCACAUUGGGACUGAGACACAGCCCAAACUCCUACGGGAGGCAGCAGUGGGGAAUCUUGCGCAAUGGGCGAAAGCCUGACGCAGCCAUGCCGCGUGAAUGAUGAAGGUCUUAGGAUUGUAAAAUUCUUUCACCGGGGACGAUAAUGACGGUACCCGGAGAAGAAGCCCCGGCUAACUUCGUG